This 497-nucleotide ribosomal RNA is filed under the name uncultured bacterium. RNAcentral's name for it is "partial 16S ribosomal RNA". It matches the Rfam family "Bacterial small subunit ribosomal RNA", at positions 28 to 507 of the family's 1533-position model. The record is from RNAcentral.
GAUGAACGCUGGCGGCGUGCCUAAUACAUGCAAGUCGAGCGAACAGACGAGGAGCUUGCUCCUCUGACGUUAGCGGCGGACGGGUGAGUAACACGUGGAUAACCUACCUAUAAGACUGGGAUACCUUCGGGAAACCGGAGCUAAUACCGGAUAAUAUAUUGAACCGCAUGGUUCAAUAGUGAAAGACGGCUUUGCUGUCACUUAUAGAUGGAUCCGCGCCGCAUUAGCUAGUUGGUAAGGUAACGGCUUACCAAGGCGACGAUGCGUAGCCGACCUGAGAGGGUGAUCGGCCACACUGGAACUGAGACACGGUCCAGACUCCUACGGGAGGCAGCAGUAGGGAAUCUUCCGCAAUGGGCGAAAGCCUGACGGAGCAACGCCGCGUGAGUGAUGAAGGUCUUCGGAUCGUAAAACUCUGUUAUUAGGGAAGAACAAAUGUGUAAGUAACUAUGCACGUCUUGACGGUACCUAAUCAGAAAGCCACGGCUAACUACGUG